GACGAACGCUGGCGGCGUGCCUAAUGCAUGCAAGUCGAGCGGGCUACGAUCUUCGGAUUGUAGCUUAGCGGCGAACGGGUGAGUAACACGUAGGUGAUCUACCCUUCAGAGGAGGACAACCUCAGGAAACUGAGGCUAAACCUUCAUACGUUCACUGGUAGGGAUACUGGUGAAGAAAGAGUUACCUUAGUGGUAGCUGCUGAAGGAUGAGCCUGCGGCCCAUCAGGUAGUUGGUGAGGUAACGGCUCACCAAGCCGAAGACGGGUAACCGGUCUGAGAGGAUGUCCGGUCACACUGGGACUGAGACACGGCCCAGACUCCUACGGGAGGCAGCAGCAGGGAAUCUUGGGCAAUGGGCGAAAGCCUGACCCCAGCGACGCCGCGUGGAGGAAGAAGUCCUUCGGGGCGUAAACUCCUGGACGUGGGGGACGGAGGAAGGACGGUACCCCGAGUAGAAAGGGACGGGCUAACUACGUGCCAGCAGCCGACGGUAAAAGUACUCUAU
RNAcentral lists this ribosomal RNA (505 nucleotides) under uncultured bacterium. Its description in RNAcentral is "bacterial SSU rRNA". It matches the Rfam family "Bacterial small subunit ribosomal RNA", at positions 28 to 535 of the family's 1533-position model. The record is from RNAcentral.